CCUACGGGAGGCAGCAGUGGGGAAUUUUGGACAAUGGGCGCAAGCCUGAUCCAGCCAUGCCGCGUGAGUGAAGAAGGCCUUCGGGUUGUAAAGCUCUUUCGGUAGGAACGAAAUGGUUCGUGCUAAUACCACGGACUGAUGACGGUACCUGAAGAAGAAGCACCGGCUAACUACGUGCCAGCAGCCGCGGUAAUACGUAGGGUGCAGGCGUUAAUCGGAAUUACUGGGCGUAAAGCGUGCGCAGGCGGUUUCUUAAGUCAGAUGUGAAAGCCCCGGGCUUAACCUGGGAACUGCGUUUGAAACUGGGAGACUAGAGUGUGGCAGAGGGGGGUGGAAUUCCACGUGUAGCAGUGAAAUGCGUAGAUAUGUGGAGGAACACCGAUGGCGAAGGCAGCCCCCUGGGUUAACACUGACGCUCAUGCACGAAAGCGUGGGGAGCAAACAGGAUUAGAUACCCUGGUAGUCCACGCCCUAAACUAUGUCAACUGGUUGUCGGGGGAUUAGCUCCCUUGGUAACGAAGCUAACGCGUGAAGUUGACCGCCUGGGGAUCGGCCGCAAGGUUAAAACCUCAAAGGAAUUGACGGCUGAGAGNGCGAGCGACGACGAGGGAGAGG
RNAcentral lists this ribosomal RNA (615 nucleotides) under uncultured bacterium. Its description in RNAcentral is "bacterial SSU rRNA". It matches the Rfam family "Bacterial small subunit ribosomal RNA", at positions 338 to 946 of the family's 1533-position model. The record is from RNAcentral.